GAUGAAGAACGCAUCGAAAUGCGAUAAGUAAUGUGAAUUGCAGAAUUCAGUGAAUCAUCGAGUUUUUGAACGCAUAUUGCGCCCUCUGGUAUUCCGGGGGGCAUGCCUGUUCGAGCGUCAUUAAAUAGCCCUCAAGCAUAGCUUGGUGUUGGGCUUUUUUACGUCCUUGACUGGGAUGGGCCUAAAAAUUAGUGGCGAUGGCUUUUUUACUUUCAAGCGUAGUAAAUCUCGUCUUGCUAAAGAGGAAAAAGAUUUUUUUUCUGCCAAAAAUUUUAACAUUUAAAGUUGACCUCGGAUCAGGUAGGAUUACCCGCUGAACUUAAGCAUAUCAAUAAGCGGAGGA
RNAcentral lists this unclassified non-coding RNA (343 nucleotides) under soil metagenome. Its description in RNAcentral is "partial contains 5.8S ribosomal RNA, internal transcribed spacer 2, and large subunit ribosomal RNA". The stretch from base 1 to 120 matches the Rfam family "5.8S ribosomal RNA", at positions 35 to 154 of the family's 154-position model. The record is from RNAcentral.